Molecule: ribosomal RNA, 492 nt
Filed under: uncultured bacterium
Lineage: Bacteria
Description: partial 16S ribosomal RNA
Rfam family: Bacterial small subunit ribosomal RNA
Source: RNAcentral
AGUGAACGCUGGCGGUAGGCCUAACACAUGCAAGUCGAACGGCAGCACAGUAAGAGCUUGCUCUUACGGGUGGCGAGUGGCGGACGGGUGAGGAAUACAUCGGAAUCUACUUUUUCGUGGGGGAUAACGUGGGGAAACUUACGCUAAUACCGCAUACGACCUACGGGUGAAAGCAGUGGAUCUUCGGACCUUGCGCGAUUGAAUGAGCCGAUGUCGGAUUAGCUAGUUGGCGGGGUAAAGGCCCACCAAGGCGACGAUCCGUAGCUGGUCUGAGAGGAUGAUCAGCCACACUGGAACUGAGACACGGUCCAGACUCCUACGGGAGGCAGCAGUGGGGAAUAUUGGACAAUGGGCGCAAGCCUGAUCCAGCCAUACCGCGUGGGUGAAGAAGGCCUUCGGGUUGUAAAGCCCUUUUGUUGGGAAAGAAAAGCAGCAGGUUAAUACCCCGCUGUUCUGACGGUACCCAAAGAAUAAGCACCGGCUAACUUCGUG